GCGCACACCAUCUUUGGACCUUGAGUGUGACGCGAUCGGGAGGGGUAGGCGGUCGCGCUGGGGGUGGCGCGACACGGCUCGGGCCCGCCAGUGCCCCAACGGGGCCCUAGUUAUUAUUUUUCCUCCGCUUUAAACUGGAAAAUGGCCCACUUCCCACUGGCGAAAACUCAGGAAAUUUGGCAGGACGACCGGGCCUGGUGAAAAAUUUGAUAUUCUGAAGUCGCCCAAACAAUAAAAUGCAAAAUGGCUCCAUAGCGCCCCCUAAGGUGAAAAUUCACAUGACGGCUGUACGCUUUGUCAUAUUGACACAAAAAUUGACACACACAUGUAUCUCAAUAAGAUCUACAAAAAAGUCAGCGCAGGCGUAUCUGUCAAAUGUACGGUUAAUGGGUUAUUUUGCAUUUUUUGCCGAUCUGCACACAUUGGAAUUUCGCUAACUCCUCCGAAGGCAUUCGUUCCACCGGCACCACAUUUGCUCAGGCCAAUCUACACCCCAUGGCCAUUAAAAGUUGUACAAAUCAUGACGCUGCACCCCACGGUUUACGUUCUAGGGGGCGCCAAAGAUAACCCAAAAAUCCACAGUCUUAUAAGUCUUAUAACUUUUUAUUUUUGUCCUCACUGGCCUCCAAGUUCUCUAGGAUGAUGCAAUGUCCAGCCAUCAACACAUUUGUGAAGGAAUUUUUACUCCCCAAAAGAGCGCCCCCACAUGGCAGGAGAAAAAAGUCCAUUUUUUCUUGUCCCCUAAGGUGAAAAUACACAUUGUUGAGUGUCACGCCUAUACGCUUUGUCAUAUUGACCCAAAAUUUGACAAUCACGUGUAUCUCAAUAAGAUCUACGAAAAAGUCAAUAGGCACGUAUCUGUAAAAUGUACGGUUAAAGGGUUAUUUUGCAUUUUUUCCCGAUCCGCACACAUUGGAAUUUCGCUAACUCCUCCGAAGGCUUUAGUUCCACCGCCACCAAAUUUGCUCAGGCCAAUCUACACCCCAUGGCCAUUCAAAGUUGUACAAAUCAUGACGCUGCACUCCACGGUUUAGGUUCUAGGGGGCGCCAAAGAUGACCCAAAUAUACAUUACAGCAGACAAAGUAGUUUUGCCCACUGAGUGGCGCCAAAGGGACUUGUCUAUUGAGUCUGGGAGUCACUAUUGGCCGUUUUUGACUACUUUAGAUUUUACCUUUAUAUUUCCUCUUAAAAUUUUUUUACCUUGCCUUGCCUGGUAUCAUUUUUUUUCAGCACAACCUCACCUGUGUGAAUUUACAGUUAUUUUAUCAUUUUGACAUACUGUAUUUACACAAUGGACCCAAAUUCACACACAAAACAUAAAAUCCGAGUGGAAAAAAGUAACAUUUUUACUGUGAAAACCACAAAUAUGUGUGAUGAACUGUUUUUAAAACUUAAACUUCAAAUAAAAAUUGUAAACUUCAAAACAUAUGCAAAUUUUUAACAAAGAACAUAGUAAUUUACCUCUAUUUACAUCAAAAUGCAGGCAAUGGCCCAGGCGUUCUUUGUAAAAUUAUUUACAAAACGCUGUAUAGUCUCACAAAUGUCACUUUUAUUUAUGCCACUACAAAAAAUCAUGAUGUAAAUGAUGCAUGAUGUAAAACAUGAUGUAAAAAACUUGUGUAGAUCCUCCUCUAUGUUAGUCCAUGUGUAAUUUUUCCAUAAUUCUUUGUUUUUUGCAGCAUUUUUGUUAGUGUAACUGCAGAUUGUGCUGACAGUGUCUAUGGCAAAAAAAAAAAAAAAACUGAAAAUGCCUCAACAUGAACCCCUGGUGGUCUCUGAGGGUGAAACCUGCUAACUGCUGCAGAUCUGUCAGCUUCAUGCAGAGCUCGGAGCACAUGUGUGGCUCUGCACCAUUAGCAGCGUUGCUAACUCCUCAGUAAGGAAAGCCUGCUUCAUGUCUGAGUCUCUAAACUCCAGAAGAAGUCGAUAGAAGUCCCUUUCUUUCUAAAAAAAAAAAAGGCGUUAGGUGGUCUGAAAAGUCUUUGAAUCUAACAACAAAGUCGCUAGGUUUGCAACUACGUGUCCCAGACUGCAUCCCUGCUGAGAGUCCCUCCCUCCCUUCUCAUGUUGCAGGAAGACCGUAAGCGCCCGCCCCUUGUCAAUCAGUCACCAUAUAAUUUUGGAUUGGUUGUUGUGGUGAAGUUUUCCACCAAUAGGAGAAAUGUUGUGGUGUGUUUUUUUUUUCUUUUGGCAAGCCUUUUCCGCCUGUAAGACCUGUCGCUAAUGUCUGCAUGCUAUGUUUUCCUGUCUCAUACAGCGCGAUCGAGCGCCGAACGUGAUCAAAAUAAGCAGAAAAAAAGUAUUGCAGACAUAAUUUAUCAUAACUCUGGUUUUAUUUGGCCUAUCAACACAAUUUAAAAACUGGUAUAUAGUUUAAGGUCCUCACUUUGGAGAUAAGUUGAAACGGAGAGUCAACGAGGCUCCGUCUUGCAGCUACAUCCGGUUAAAUAUGUCAUGUGACUUGAACGCUGGGGAGCGUCAAUCGACUGCAGAGCCAGCAGACAAAGUAGUUAUGGCCAUUGAGAGGCACACAUUUGUCAUAUGCUAUAAUCCUAACAUAUUUUAAUGCUUUUUCUAUUUAAACCUAAUGGAUCUAAGGUUUGACCUUCAAAAUUUAGGAAGAAUAUGUUUUUGCAGAAAUGACCCCCUUAAACAACCAGAGGUCCUUUCCUAAAGUUUAUGGAAAUUUUAGUGAAGGCCUUGGUUUCUGUCCUUGCAAAAUGCAUAGAAAUAAUAAAGCUAAAUACCAUAAAAUGGUCUUGGCGUAUUAGCAGUGAUAUAAAAUAGUGGUUUGAAUAUGAAUGAACAACAAAAAAAAACAUCAACAGAGCCUUUUUGUGUUGGGAUUCUUUCAUUAUUACACAAAAACAGACAUAGACAGACAUCUAAAGGGUAAGGGAAUGAUCAGCCCUCCUGACUCUCAGAUGAAUCUUCAAAAUUCACCUCAGAAAUAUGCUUAUUCUUCUCAGAGUACUGCAGGAUUCACACACACACACACACACACACACACACACACACACACACACACACACACACACACACACUCAGAGUCUUUUUUUUAGCACCUGCAAAAACAUGCUAUUUACAUAUUUGACAAGAAUGCAGAGGCUCCUUUUGCCCCUGAAAAAAAUCAAAUUUCAAACACAACUUGACUGCUCAUUUCUCCAAAAGACAAACAUGAAGCUCCAUCCAAACCUGAAGCAGGCAGUUGGUGCAUGUGUAUAGUAACCUGAGGGGAGUGAGGUGACUGCUUCUGAGGAGAACAUGAGCAGUGAAGAUUCACCUUGGAGCUAGAACAGGGACGUGCACAUGAUUAUACAGGGGCAGGGGCUCAAGUUUUUUCCAGUCGUUUAUACAAUAUGGAAAUUAAUGUGAAAUUAAAAACAAAGUAUUAAUAGAAAGGUAAUGACUGUCCUGUGUAGGUGACCGUGAUAUCCAAUAGGCUAGGCACUCACAAGGCUGGCUGUGGCAAGUGUAAGUGAAAGCAACAUGCACUGGCAGGAAGAACAGCUAACACAGAUGAAGGAAAAGGGUCUUUGCAGUGAUGGGCGUCACCAGAGAGGGCGACAGCCAGAGGACGUGAAUGGGACAGGGAGGCGGUCGCGCUGGGGGCGGCGCGACGCGGCUCGGGCCCGACAGUGCCCCACCGGGGCCCUAGUUCUUUCUUUCUUUCUUUCUUCUUAUUUUUCCUCCCCUUUGAAGGGGAAAAUGGCCCACUUCCCACUGGCGAAAACUCAUGAAAUUUGGCAGGAUGACCGGGCCUGGUGAAAAAUUCGAUAUUCUGAAGUCGCCCAAACAAUAAAAUGCAAAAUGGCUCCAUAGCGCCCCCUAAGGUGGAAAUUCACACUAUUGACUGUCACGCCUGUACGCUUUGUCAUAUUGACACAA
Non-coding RNA from Xyrichtys novacula (pearly razorfish), 3889 nucleotides. The record is from the annotation of a GenBank genome assembly. Lineage: Eukaryota; Metazoa; Chordata; Actinopteri; Labriformes; Labridae.